Pelobates cultripes (western spadefoot toad) is the source of this 879-nucleotide non-coding RNA. Lineage: Eukaryota; Metazoa; Chordata; Amphibia; Anura; Pelobatidae. The record is from the annotation of a GenBank genome assembly.
GGGACAGUUCUUCUGCCUUAUACGAUUGCCAGUAAAUACAGUAAGCUAUUCCCAUUAGUUAACAACUCGCGAGUUUUGUUGCUGCUUUUUUUCACAUUAAUAUCAGGAACUCACUUCUCCUUUCUAUUCUCAGCGGAGUCAGAAAAGUCAACAAUUAAAGGAGCUUUCGGUGAGUUUGAACUCUUCACCUGUUUGAAGUUUGUUGAAAGAACGACAGAAAAUGAUUACAUCAGCAUAGAAUCUGGAACUGGGUAAGUUGAAAUAAAAGGUAGGGAAGUCCUAUUUGGUAAGAUAAGAAGACAAACUGGAUAGUUUAAUGAGAGUUAUUUAAGGUCACAAGACCUAAUUCACUAAAUAAUGAAUAUUCAUAGUCUAAAUGAAUGGAUCAUGAAGGUAUGUUAUCCUACAAUGUUUUGAAGUAAUCAUGGUGCAUUAUGACUGUAUUGGCAAUGUUUAGAUUUACUAAAGCCAAAUGCAGUCAGGAUUAGGCUGUUGUCUCACCGAUUCUGUAAAAUUAGUUCAGGUGAGUUUGGAAAAUCAAUGAUUUCCAGCAUGGAUAUAGCAGAUUUAUCAAUAACCACAGGGGGAUGAUAAUCUGAAUACAUCCAGCCAGAUUGUGUCAUGUGUCAUGCAAGGUUGUGUCAUGCAAUCAUGGCUAAACAUUCCAUGCGAAAGGCCAAUGUUGUCUUUAUGGACCAGAACGUAAUGACAGAAAAGAUUGCCAUGAAUACUUAAAGGGUUUAAUAACCUAAUUGUUUUUUAUCUAAUAUACUAACAUUCAACAAACAUAUGUAUGCUGUUUUUUUAGGUGCUGGUCAAAUCUUGGAAAAGUUGGUGGAAAACAGACUUUGAGCCUGAGUCAAGACAUCUGCAUAAACC